This is a non-coding RNA of Zootoca vivipara (common lizard), 188 nucleotides long. The record is from RefSeq and is a predicted model, not a curated record. Lineage: Eukaryota; Metazoa; Chordata; Lepidosauria; Squamata; Lacertidae.
AUUUGUUAGGAAUAAGCAUUGAGAGGAAGGUCCACUGUUGCAGGGCCAUUCUGAUGUAAAUGCCUAUAGAAAGAACUUGUUAAUACAGACACCCACUCAGCUUUGUUCAUAUAUACCUAAAGCUAUUACAAGGACAAUCUGCGCUUGAAUAUCUUAUGUUGUGGUUUCACUACAACACACAAAUCAAA